GGAAAACAUAUGAACUCCAUGGAUGGAAGGAAUCCAUGGAUGAAAAGCCAUCAUACCUUGAUUACAAAUCUCACAAAUUCUUGAGGAAUGGAGACUUGACCUUGAUCCUAGCUCCAACUCUUUCUUCUUCUUCAAGUUCUAGAGAGAGAAAUAUUUGAGAGGAAGACUUUGGGAUUUCUUUUGGGUUUUGGGAAUAAUGACUUGAAUGGGUGAGUUUUGGGGUUAAAAUGAC
Molecule: long non-coding RNA, 232 nt
Filed under: Solanum tuberosum (potato)
Lineage: Eukaryota; Viridiplantae; Streptophyta; Magnoliopsida; Solanales; Solanaceae
Description: long non-coding RNA (STUB_LNC002560)
Source: RNAcentral